AGUGCUGGGCUGGAGUGUGGAGGAGCCAUCCAGAGUGAGUGCCUGGGGCAGAGUGAGAGCAGGACCAGCGGGCAGGUGGCGGAGUGGGGGUCGGUGGUGGAUGGCCCAGCCCUGGAAAGCUGAGGUGAAGGUUACGAGUCCCUGAGGAUCUGUGGGUGUGAGCCAGCCGCGUGGCCCUGGGCAACGGCGCUGCCGGACAGAAGUGGUGGUUGCUGACGCCUGGAAAUUCCCCUGAAGGUGGAGCACCACCCAACCCCCCUGGGUCCCACCCUCCCUCAAGGCCUCCUCCACCUCCACCUCCACCCCGCCUGGCCUGGCGUCCACCUCUUCGGCUCCUACCUGGGUGCGAUCGAGUUAAAUGGCUGAUAAGCAGAUCAGCCUGCCAGCCAAGCUCAUCAAUGGCGGCAUCGCCGGGCUGAUCGGGGUCACCUGCGUGUUCCCCAUCGACCUGGCCAAGACCAGGCUGCAGAACCAGCAGAACGGCCAGCGCAUGUACACGAGCAUGUCCGACUGCCUCAUCAAGACCAUCCGCUCCGAGGGCUACUUCGGCAUGUACCGGGGUGAGGAGCUGCUGUGAACUUGACCCUCGUCACCCCCGAGAAGGCCAU
This 608-nucleotide small RNA is filed under the name Pongo abelii (Sumatran orangutan). RNAcentral's name for it is "processed transcript". The record is from RNAcentral. Lineage: Eukaryota; Metazoa; Chordata; Mammalia; Primates; Hominidae.